RNAcentral lists this long non-coding RNA (1624 nucleotides) under Lynx pardinus (Iberian lynx). The record is from RNAcentral. Lineage: Eukaryota; Metazoa; Chordata; Mammalia; Carnivora; Felidae.
GCACAGGCCCGCCCCCUGGCUCCAGGCCACGCUGGACAGCAUAAAACGGGCUGGCCUCAGCUCUUGGCCACACGCAUCGUCCUGACAUCAUGACGCCCAGCAGCUUCUUGGUCCUGGCGGUGUUCCUUAUCCUUGGGACUCUGGCAGCACAGGCGGCUGUCAUAGGUGAGUAGACAAGUGGCCUGGGUGAGGCUGGAUUGGGCCCUGGCAGGGAGCACUCUGGGGCAGCAGGCAGGCUGGAUCGCAUGCUUUGGUCUGUGGCUGCUUCCGCUGUAUCCAGAGAGAGCAGAAGUUGUCCAGUAGAAUCAUGUGCUUUCCAUGCUAAGACUGAGCUAUCAGGACCAUUGCCGGACAAAGCGUGGCCAUGUGGCGUUGGCCUCAGGGGUUGAUAGCUGGGCAGAAUGUGCAAUGAAGUGGGGAACCCCAGGAAUCUGGGCCUGGGUGUGGGGUUUGCCUGUCUGCCCCAGAAAGCACCUGAGUAAUCAGCCUCUAAAAGGAGGUUGCACACCAACAAGACCUCAGAAAUCCUGUCGUUUGAAGACCCCCAUUUUACCAAGGAGGACAUUGUCCAGACAACCUCCAGAGCCAGGAGGGAGCUCAGGGCUCCUGGUGUAUGUCUCAGGGCUCUUUCCCCACCCCCCAAGUUGCCUCAGAGAUGACAAUGUGUCCUUCUCACCUCUGGAAGUCACCCCUGUCUGGCCUCUCCUCCUGAGAGGACUUGUCAUGGAGGGCGGGGGGAGAAAUGGAUACCCAAGGGAACCGUGGUCCUGUAGACCCUCUCCCCAAAGCCCAGAGCACAGCUUUCCUAGGGCACAGACCCCAGCUAGCCCAGAUGACCCUGCCCCAUCUCCGGCCAUGGUUUGGGAAACACGGCAGAGAGCAGUGGUUGGACGAAGAGGAAAGACUAGAUGGUGAAGCAGGCGCCCUGGGUCGAAAUGUGGCUACAUUUCUUCUUUCAACCGUUCCUCCUAAAGGGCAAGGCACAGACAAAGGUCGUGUUCUGGUCAAAGGACAAGAUCCGGUUAGAGGUCAAGAUCCAGUCAAAACCAAAGAUCUGCUCAAAGUUCCAGUGUCCACUAAGCCUGGCUCCUGCCCCAACAUUCUGAUGCGGUGCGCCAUGAUGAACCCCCCUAACCGCUGUUUGAGGGAUACCGAGUGCCCCGGGGCCAAGAAGUGCUGUCAGGGCCCUUGUGGGCUGGCCUGCUUGGAUCCCCAGUGAGGUGAGAACCUGGUGGAGCAGGAGGAGACCCCGAGGGCACAGAGAAGGCUGAGCAAUGGGAAUGAGCCUGGGUGGGUGAGAGGGAGGCUGUGGAGAGGGGCUGGGGGGGCGGAGGCGCGUUGAGCCUGUAACUGACGACCUGAGAGGGCCGUCACGUGGACGGGAUCCUGCCCUCCACUGCCUCUGAGUGCUUUGACCUGCCGAAUCACUUCUCUGGUCCUCUUCUCUCCCGGCCAGGUGGGGCGUGUCCUUGCUGCCCCUGUGAAGUCCCCAGGGCUGCUGGCCCCCGCCCUGUCGCACCACCCUCUCCGGCCAGCGCAUCCUCCCUCUCAUUCAGGAUGCCCAAGCCCGGACUUGGCUGCUUCUCUUGUUGACUUUGCAAUAAAAGACCACUUUCUGCUCCAU